Oreochromis niloticus (Nile tilapia) is the source of this 2242-nucleotide long non-coding RNA. The record is from Ensembl. NCBI's taxonomy places the organism in Eukaryota, Metazoa, Chordata, Actinopteri, Cichliformes, Cichlidae.
GCAGUUUACUACCUAAAGGGCUCUGGGUUCAGCCACCGCUGGCAGUUCGUUCACGUGAUGUUUUCCCAGGGAACCAAAGAGAAGUAGAGAAGAGUACGUGCAGGACGGGGAAGUAUGUUUUAUUUGCAUACUGGGCGCCUGUUCUGAGCAUGUCGUGACGUCUAACCAAUCAGGUCAGCGAAUCCCGCAAACCACGCCCGCGCGGUAACUCGUGUCGCGCGCUUCACAAUCAGCAUUGUACUAGUGUGCAAGUGAAAGAACCCAAAGUUACAAGCGUCUUUUUGUCACCGUUUCAGCAGGGUUACCUGACAGGAGGACUUUUUGUGUAGCAAGUUGAACUCAGGCAGAGCUCAAAAAACUGCAAGGACGUCUUCGGAACAAGCUCGUGGCUGCCGAGUUUAAACUGCUACCAGCUUGGAGAAGUUAUUGUUCGCCACUCCGUGGGGUUUAAAUUUCGGCUAACAGAAGCGCCCCAGGCCGAAGCAGGUUGUAAGCUCUGCGUGUUAUAAACCUUAAGUUAGGUCGCAAUGGCAGCUGUGUGCCAGCCACGACGGGCCUUGGUGGAAAUACCUGCUCCACAGCCCAAAAUUGCCGCUCGAAUGAGGAGGUCCUACUUGGAAAUAUUAAGUUCACGUAUGGUCCCGACCCCGUCCCCACUUCCAAGAGGAAGAAACACAGCCGCAAACACAAAGCGUAUGCAGUCAUUGGACUUGGCAGUUGGUGGGGCGUGGAGAGGAAGGCUAGAGGAGCAGUGCGAGAAGAUGGACGAGCACCACACACCGCUCUCCAAACAGCAGCUUGUGCAGCUCAUUAGAUCCCUCAUCUUGGUCGAACAGAGCCAAGAGCCCAGGAUCAUGGCAUCAGACCUGAAGUAUCUACAGGAAGACCUGCAGCUAAAGAAGGCCAAUGUUUAUAGGUCCAUACCUUACUCACGAUUUGGAUCCAACAGGGACGCUCACUGCUACAGAAAGGCGUACCCUCACCUGGUGGCAUUCAAAGUUUCGUGUCAGGAGUGGGGUCAAGUUCUGCUCAGGAACAAAGAUUGGGACGCUGUGUUGGAGCACUCGCUGAUGGCGUGGCGUUACACCAGCGAGCUGCCGCAGUGGGACACUGCAAGCCACAACGCCCUUCGAGAGCAGUGUUACAGCAUCCUGGCGGCUCACAGCCUCACCGCUCUCCAGCACUAUUCCCCCGAACCCAACAGAGGACGCGAGCUGCUCAGAAGACUGAAGAUGGCUCAGCUGUAUAGCCAGUCAAUUGUUCCCUGCAUACAGGAGUUGCAGAGGAUAAUGGAAUGUCUUGAUGACUCGUCCAUGGAUACAAAAUGAAAGGAGAAUCCGGCAAAAGAGUGCGAAUUGUGGAUGACCAAAAAAAGGCAAAAACGUGCUUUAUGUGUGGUGAUGGGCCAGGAACAUUGAACACAUUAGUGUUUGUGUAAAACCACUACAAUAUUCUUCCAAAGGGCACGGUGGCAAGUGCAAAAUGAACAAAAUGAAUAAUGCAGGCUUCAAAGGGUAAUAAAUAACACUCCCUAAAUGGCUGAAAAUGGCAUUUUAACAGCAUGUGGAAAGUGUUAUUUUAGGAGUUGUUGCACUGCACAAUGGCAGGGUAUUAAUUAAUGUAACAUUUUGUUCAUACAUUACCAGCCUAUAUGAAAAUGGAGAAGGAGCAUUUACAUUCUGAAAAGCAUUCAGUUGGUGCUUACUGUUAAAAUGUUUGUAUGCUUUUAGACAUCAUAUAGUUUAGUCUGUGUCGAUGGCUGAAAUAUAAAAAGUAUGAAAUUUGCCCCGCUUGUUUUUGCAGGGUUGUGUGUGUGUGUAUAUAUGUUCUUGUUACUGUUUACAUUACUUGAAGCUGUGGCCUUUGUCUUAGACUAUAGUAUCUUGUGUAUCUUGUGUGUACAGAUACUCAUCUGUCAAUGAUUGCACUGUUGUUUGUCCUGAAAACUUGAACAAUUUUGAUAAGACUCCUAAUUUAAUUAAAGACGUUCUUUAAACUGCACUCAUGUGUCUUUGUUCUGUGCGAGUGCUUUGCAUGCGUGCCAAGCACUGUGAACGACUGGAGAAUUUGAGGACAGUGCUGUUUUCAUGUAGUAACUCUGAAGUUUCUAAGUGUGGUUUUUUUGUUUGUUUUUUUUGUAGGAAAACUGUCAAUAGACUGUAAUGGUUUUUCCAACCACUCUGUUUCUAUGCUCACAGUUUUAUCUAAAAUAGAUCAUAGGCUGUGGCUUCCAGGCUCCGAG